RNAcentral lists this ribosomal RNA (497 nucleotides) under uncultured bacterium. Its description in RNAcentral is "partial 16S ribosomal RNA". It matches the Rfam family "Bacterial small subunit ribosomal RNA", at positions 28 to 507 of the family's 1533-position model. The record is from RNAcentral.
GAUGAACGCUGGCGGCGUGCCUAAUACAUGCAAGUCGAGCGAACAGAUGAGGAGCUUGCUCCUCUGACGUUAGCGGCGGACGGGUGAGUAACACGUGGAUAACCUACCUAUAAGACUGGGAUAACUUCGGGAAACCGGAGCUAAUACCGGAUAAUAUAUUGAACCGCAUGGUUCAAUAGUGAAAGACGGUUUUGCUGUCACUUAUAGAUGGAUCCGCGCCGCAUUAGCAAGUUGGUAAGGUAACGGCUUACCAAGGCAACGAUGCGUAGCCGACCUGAGAGGGUGAUCGGCCACACUGGAACUGAGACACGGUCCAGACUCCUACGGGAGGCAGCAGUAGGGAAUCUUCCGCAAUGGGCGAAAGCCUGACGGAGCAACGCCGCGUGAGUGAUGAAGGUCUUCGGAUCGUAAAACUCUGUUAUUAGGGAAGAACAAAUGUGUAAGUAACUAUGCACGUCUUGACGGUACCUAAUCAGAAAGCCACGGCUAACUACGUG